This 45-nucleotide non-coding RNA is filed under the name Schistosoma margrebowiei. Lineage: Eukaryota; Metazoa; Platyhelminthes; Trematoda; Strigeidida; Schistosomatidae. The record is from RNAcentral.
AUCCAGUUGACGAGUCACAAAUAGGAUGAAACACGCAUCCUGGAU